AAGUCGUAACAAGGUAUCCGUAGGUGAACCUGCGGAUGGAUCAUUAACACUUAUCCAAGUACCUACUAGUAAACCUAUUUUGGUCACCCGAGUUCCGCGACCGGAUCAUGGAACCCACAAACGGCAGAGCAAAACUCCGGUUUUGCUGUUCCACCGGUAGAAACUCGUUGUUUUCCUGGUCUCCUUCACGGGAUUCCGGGAACUCAACGCAGUCUUGAGAGUCGACACUAAAAACUCUUCCGGUAGAAGAAAGCUUGCUUUUUUCUGCUGCAGUUUCAUUCUGGCUGCUGUUUUGUAUUGUCAAACCAUUAACGAUUUGUAACCAUAUGUCUGAUUUAAGGGUUGGUCCGAAAGGAUUUCAACUUUAACAUUCGCGUAAUUUUUAUACAACUGUUAGCAACGGAUAUCUUGGUUCUC
Molecule: unclassified non-coding RNA, 417 nt
Filed under: fungal sp.
Lineage: Eukaryota; Fungi
Description: partial internal transcribed spacer region
Rfam family: Eukaryotic small subunit ribosomal RNA (bases 1-46)
Source: RNAcentral